This 254-nucleotide ribosomal RNA is filed under the name uncultured bacterium. Its description in RNAcentral is "partial 16S ribosomal RNA". It matches the Rfam family "Bacterial small subunit ribosomal RNA", at positions 524 to 776 of the family's 1533-position model. The record is from RNAcentral.
UACGGGGGGAGCAAGCGUUGUUCGGAUUUACUGGGCGUAAAGGGCGCGUAGGCGGUCAGCACAAGUCAGUUGUGAAAUCUCCGGGCUUAACUCGGAAAGGUCAACUGAUACUGUGCGACUAGAGUGCAGAAGGGGCAACUGGAAUUCUCGGUGUAGCGGUGAAAUGCGUAGAUAUCGAGAGGAACACCUGCGGCGAAGGCGGCCCGCUGGACCCCAUCUGACGCUGAGGCGCGAAAGCCAGGGGAGCGAACGGG